This 290-nucleotide ribosomal RNA is filed under the name uncultured eukaryote. RNAcentral describes it as "partial 18S ribosomal RNA". It matches the Rfam family "Eukaryotic small subunit ribosomal RNA", at positions 6 to 306 of the family's 1831-position model. The record is from RNAcentral.
GGUUGAUCCUGCCAGUAGUCAUAUGCUUGUCUCAAAGAUUAAGCCAUGCAUGUCUAAGUAUAAGCGACUUAUACAGUGAAACUGCGAAUGGCUCAUUAAAUCAGUUAUCGUUUAUUUGAUAGUACCUUGCUUAAUUGGCAUACGCCUGGCAAUUCUAGAGCUAAUACAUGCGCACAAGCCCUACUUCUGGGAGGGCUGUAUUUAUUAGAUAAAAAAUCAACGCUGCUUGAUGAUUCAUAAUAACUUGUCGAAUCGCAUGGCCUCGCGCCGGCGAUGGUUCAUUCAAAUUU